This 230-nucleotide long non-coding RNA is filed under the name Lathyrus oleraceus (garden pea). RNAcentral describes it as "Pisum sativum (pea) long non-coding RNA (PSAT_LNC037612)". The record is from RNAcentral. Lineage: Eukaryota; Viridiplantae; Streptophyta; Magnoliopsida; Fabales; Fabaceae.
UUGUCUGUAAAAUUGGAAUUUUGUUCUAAGUAAAACAAAGUAAAUUUGGAUGCAUGAAAGUUUAAAAUACCCGGACAAAAUUAGGGUAUGACAAUUGGGAAAAGGAUAGAUGAAAUAUUGACAUUUAUAGAGUUAGAAAUAGUGGAAGUUCCAUCAUUAGAAGACUUACAGGGAUUCUGAUGAGUAGAGACUUCAAUAGAUUCUUGUCAUACCCUAAAAUUCGUCCUACC